Non-coding RNA from Pelobates cultripes (western spadefoot toad), 234 nucleotides. NCBI's taxonomy places the organism in Eukaryota, Metazoa, Chordata, Amphibia, Anura, Pelobatidae. The record is from the annotation of a GenBank genome assembly.
GGCUAAACCGGGUGGCUGGGGACAAUGCCAGGCUGCUGCGCUGGAGUUUGGCGCUGCAGCCUUUUAACUUUGAUAUUCAGUACCGCCCGGGUAAGCAGAGGGAAUGCCGACGGGUUGUCGAGACAAACUGACCUGGAAAAAUGAUCUGUGAGUCCCCGGACAUCCCCAAGCCGAUCCGUGUUGGAUCAGACUGUGUAUGCCGGCUUGUGGGCAAGGGGGAGCAGUGUAGCGGAU